UACUCUAUGAAGAAGGUAAAAACCAUUGGUUCCUCGAAGCAAAAGAGAUGGCAGUGUUCCACUCACACUAACAGAGGCUGUCGUGGGACGAUUGUUACGUUUGAUGACAGAAUCAUUAAAAUAACAAACAAACAUAAUCAUGUACCUGUUAAAAAACCUUAUUAAUUUACUUAGUAUUAUCUUAUACCUGUUUAUAACUUAUAAGGUUUUAUAAUCUACCAAUCUUCAUACAGUCGAAAAAAGGCAAUCCUUUGAUUUUGCUAGCCGGUUACAGAUACUCUAUGAAGAAUUGUAAACCCAUAGGGAGUUCGAUGCAGAAGAGGUGGCAAUGUUCAACUCACACCAACAGAGGCUGCUGCGGUACUGUCAUCACACUCGACAACGCCAUCAUCAGGCUCAAGAAUGUACAUAAUCACGCUCCCGUACAUGGCUUUAUAUAAAACAUCUAGGACAUUCGCAAGCGGUCAUUUAAAUGAAACUAAGGCUUUCGAAUGACAAGCGUUUUAUAUUAUUUUACAAACUGACGUGACAUUUUUAUCUAGUCUGUAUGUUAUCACGGCUGCUGUAAAAUGUAAAGGAACCGAAACUCCGGGAGUAUGUAGUUCAUAACACAAAAAAAACGCGUACCUAGUAUUCGAAAACCUUAAUCUCAUUUAUAAAACAAGAUGACUACAUUACUAUUUAUAUUUUUUAAUGUAUGCUUUUUUUGGACGUCUGAUGUGAUUAGAAUCGAUAAAUUAUUUAUACUUGUGUUUUUUUCAUUAUAUUGUUACUUAAAUAACGUAUUUUUUUAUUGUACUACAUAUGAAUUUCGUUUUGAUUUUAAUAAAAUUUAAUAAAA
Molecule: long non-coding RNA, 841 nt
Organism: Danaus plexippus (monarch butterfly)
Lineage: Eukaryota; Metazoa; Arthropoda; Insecta; Lepidoptera; Nymphalidae
Exons: 2
Source: RefSeq, a predicted model, not a curated record